UGGGGAAUUUUGGACAAUGGGCGAAAGCCUGAUCCAGCAAUGCCGCGUGUGUGAAGAAGGCCUUCGGGUUGUAAAGCACUUUUGUCCGGAAAGAAAUCCUUGGCUCUAAUACAGUCGGGGGAUGACGGUACCGGAAGAAUAAGCACCGGCUAACUACGUGCCAGCAGCCGCGGUAAUACGCAGGGUGCAAGCGUUAAUCGGAAUUACUGGGCGUAAAGCGUGCGCAGGCGGUUUGCUAAGACCGAUGUGAAAUCCCCGGGCUCAACCUGGGAACUGCAUUGGUGACUGGCAGGCUAGAGUAUGGCAGAGGGGGGUAGAAUUCCACGUGUAGCAGUGAAAUGCGUAGAGAUGUGGAGGAAUACCGAUGGCGAAGGCAGCCCCCUGGGCCAAUACUGACGCUCAUGCACGAAAGCGUGGGGAGCAAACAGGAUUAGAUACCCUGGUAGUCCACGCCCUAAACGAUGUCAACUAGUUGUUGGGGAUUCAUUUCCUUAGUAACGUAGCUAACGCGUGAAGUUGACCGCCUGGGGAGUACGGUCGCAAGAUUAAAACUCAAAGGAAUUGACGGGGUCAUAGCUGUUUCCU
RNAcentral lists this ribosomal RNA (585 nucleotides) under uncultured bacterium. RNAcentral's name for it is "partial 16S ribosomal RNA". It matches the Rfam family "Bacterial small subunit ribosomal RNA", at positions 355 to 1375 of the family's 1533-position model. The record is from RNAcentral.